RNAcentral lists this ribosomal RNA (450 nucleotides) under uncultured bacterium. RNAcentral's name for it is "bacterial SSU rRNA". It matches the Rfam family "Bacterial small subunit ribosomal RNA", at positions 355 to 796 of the family's 1533-position model. The record is from RNAcentral.
UGGGGAAUCUUGCGCAAUGGACGAAAGUCUGACGCAGCCACGCCGCGUGAGUGAAGAAGGCCUUCGGGUUGUAAAGCUCUGUCGAGCGGGACGAACAUCCUGGGUGUUAACAGCAUCCAGGACUGACGGUACCGCUAAAGGAAGCACCGGCUAACUCUGUGCCAGCAGCCGCGGUAAUACAGAGGGUGCAAGCGUUGCUCGGAAUCAUUGGGCGUAAAGGGUAGGUAGGUGGUCUCAUUUGUCUGGGGUGAAAGCCUUGAGCUUAACUCGAGAAGUGCCCCGGAAACGGUGAGACUAGAGUCUUGGAGAGGGUCGUGGAAUUCCCGGUGUAGCGGUGAAAUGCGUAGAGAUCGGGAGGAACACCAGAGGCGAAGGCGGCGACCUGGACAAGUACUGACACUCAACUACGAAAGCGUGGGGAGCAAACAGGAUUAGAUACCCCCGUAGUCC